RNAcentral lists this ribosomal RNA (468 nucleotides) under uncultured bacterium. Its description in RNAcentral is "partial 16S ribosomal RNA". It matches the Rfam family "Bacterial small subunit ribosomal RNA", at positions 28 to 507 of the family's 1533-position model. The record is from RNAcentral.
GACGAACGCUGGCGGCGUGCUUAACACAUGCAAGUCGAACGGAAAGGCCCUGCUUUUGUGGGGUGCUCGAGUGGCGAACGGGUGAGUAACACGUGAGUAACCUGCCCUUGACUUUGGGAUAACUUCAGGAAACUGGGGCUAAUACCGGAUAGGAGCUCCUGCUGCAUGGUGGGGGUUGGAAAGUUUCGGCGGUUGGGGAUGUACUCGCGGCUUAUCAGCUUGUUGGUGGGGUAGUGGCUUACCAAGGCUUUGACGGGUAGCCGGCCUGAGAGGGUGACCGGCCACAUUGGGACUGAGAUACGGACCAGACUCCUACGGGAGGCAGCAGUGGGGAAUAUUGCACAAUGGGCGGAAGCCUGAUGCAGCAACGCCGCGUGCGGGAUGACGGCCUUCGGGUUGUAAACCGCUUUCGCCUGUGACGAAGCGUGAGUGACGGUAAUGGGUAAAGAAGCACCGGCUAACUACGUG